GACAGAGGGUGCAAACGUUGUUCGGAAUUACUGGGCGUAAAGCGCGUGUAGGCGGCUUUGAAAGUCGGAUGUGAAAUCCCGCGGCUCAACCGUGGAAGUGCACCCGAAACUCCAUCGCUAGAGUAUCGGAGAGGAAAGUGGAAUGCUUGGUGUAGAGGUGAAAUUCGUAGAUAUCAAGCGGAACACCGGUGGCGAAGGCGGCUUUCUGGACGAUAACUGACGCUGAGACGCGAAAGCGUGGGUAGCAAACAGG
RNAcentral lists this ribosomal RNA (253 nucleotides) under uncultured bacterium. Its description in RNAcentral is "partial 16S ribosomal RNA". It matches the Rfam family "Bacterial small subunit ribosomal RNA", at positions 524 to 776 of the family's 1533-position model. The record is from RNAcentral.